RNAcentral lists this ribosomal RNA (419 nucleotides) under bacterium. Its description in RNAcentral is "partial 16S ribosomal RNA". It matches the Rfam family "Bacterial small subunit ribosomal RNA", at positions 355 to 776 of the family's 1533-position model. The record is from RNAcentral.
UGGGGGAUAUUGCACAAUGGGCGAAAGCCUGAUGCAGCGACGCCGCGUGGGGGAUGAAGGCCUUCGGGUUGUAAACUUCUUUUGCUCUGAACAAGGCGCACCAUGGGGUGUGUUGAGUGUAGGGGUUGAUUAGCGCCGGCUAACUACGUGCCAGCAGCCGCGGUAAUACGUAGGGUGCGAGCGUUGUCCGGAAUUAUUGGGCGUAAAGGGCUUGUAGGUGGCUGGUUGCGUCUGUCGUGAAAGCUCAUGGCUUAACUGUGGGUUUGCGGUGGGUACGGGCUGGCUUGAGUGCAGUAGGGGAGGCUGGAAUUCCUGGUGUAGCGGUGGAAUGCGCAGAUAUCAGGAGGAAUACCGGUGGCGAAGGCGGGUCUCUGGGCUGUUACUGACACUGAGGAGCGAAAGCAUGGGGAGCGAACAGG